Molecule: ribosomal RNA, 162 nt
Filed under: uncultured bacterium
Lineage: Bacteria
Description: partial 16S ribosomal RNA
Rfam family: Bacterial small subunit ribosomal RNA
Source: RNAcentral
UAGGGAAUCUUCGGCAAUGGACGCAAGUCUGACCGAGCAACGCCGCGUGAGUGAAGAAGGUUUUCGGAUCGUAAAACUCUGUUGUUAGAGAAGAACGUCAGUGAGAGUGGAAAGUUCACUGAGUGACGGUAUCUAACCAGAAAGGGACGGCUAACUACGUGC